UGGGAAGUGCGACCCCCCUUAACUAUAAUUCGAAGUUCGGUUGAGGGGAUACCAAACUUUAAAGUGCGACACUAUAGAACCAGCGUUCGGACACCGAUGCACCUUUAACCGUAGCCCCAAUGUCGGUUAAGGGUGUUUACGUGUACUGCUAAACUAACCUCAAUGUGUUUAGAAGCUCUCUGUCACCACCUUUGUCCUCCACCUUCCUCCUCCAAUAACCAAAGUACUGCCAUCAUGGAUCAC
RNAcentral lists this long non-coding RNA (243 nucleotides) under Vigna radiata. RNAcentral's name for it is "long non-coding RNA (VRAD_LNC016756)". Lineage: Eukaryota; Viridiplantae; Streptophyta; Magnoliopsida; Fabales; Fabaceae. The record is from RNAcentral.